UUCCGUUUCUCAAAAUAUUUGGAUUUGAAAUAUGGUUUUAUUAAUACUUCAUACAUGUAGUAGUUUUUUUGGUCCGUUUGCUCGCAAAGGUAGGUAAAACUAGCAAUUUUGUUAUUUCAAAUGAACUCUGCUUAAUUGCAUGUACAAAUGUGUGUGUCAUUCGAUUUUGAUCAUAACAUCUACAGAAAUGGUUUAAGGUCAGAACCCACAGCA
This 213-nucleotide long non-coding RNA is filed under the name Mytilus galloprovincialis (Mediterranean mussel). Lineage: Eukaryota; Metazoa; Mollusca; Bivalvia; Mytilida; Mytilidae. The record is from RNAcentral.